This 504-nucleotide long non-coding RNA is filed under the name Setaria italica (foxtail millet). RNAcentral describes it as "long non-coding RNA (SITA_LNC005551)". Lineage: Eukaryota; Viridiplantae; Streptophyta; Magnoliopsida; Poales; Poaceae. The record is from RNAcentral.
AGGAGGAGGAGGACCAAGAAGGGACGACGGUGGCGAAGCGGAGGGCCGUGGCGGUGGAGUCACAGCAAGAGCGGUCGAGGAAGACGCGGAGCCCGGCGCAGGAAGGGACCCAGGCUGGAUGCCCUGAGUAAGCUCCUCCAUGACAAGAUCGUCACGGACCUGCAGGAAGGUGGGGAAGGGCCGCUGCCGAGUGAUCCAGGUGCGGAGGUGGGCGUAGCGCUCGUUGAGGCCGCGAAGAACGUUGAGAACCAAAAUCCGGUCCUCCACGGCCCCAGCCAAGGUCCCCGAGGGAGUCCGCCAUGGUCUUCAUCUUCCGGCAGAACUCGCCAACGGAGAGGUCGCCCUGGACGAAGGUGCGGAAGCUCGCAUCGAGACGAAGGGCCCGGGCUUCGGCGUUGCCCAGGAACUGGCCCUCGAGCGCCAGCUAGGCCCGGCGGGCAGUAGUGUCAGGGGUGCCGCGGACGAGAUCGUGGAGGUCGAGGGAGAUGGUCCCCAGGAUCCACG